AGGAGCCGUAUGAGAUGAGAAUCUCAUAUGCGGUUCCUGAAAUGGGGAUUCUUUGAAUCGAAUGAUCUAAU
This 71-nucleotide small RNA is filed under the name Prunus dulcis (almond). RNAcentral's name for it is "sRNA ncRNA". Lineage: Eukaryota; Viridiplantae; Streptophyta; Magnoliopsida; Rosales; Rosaceae. The record is from RNAcentral.